This 269-nucleotide long non-coding RNA is filed under the name Nicotiana benthamiana. Its description in RNAcentral is "long non-coding RNA (NBEN_LNC017666)". Lineage: Eukaryota; Viridiplantae; Streptophyta; Magnoliopsida; Solanales; Solanaceae. The record is from RNAcentral.
AAGGAUUUUUGGAUAUUUAUGAGAAGUUUUGUUUACCGAGAGAACGAUGUAUGUUGAGCAGAUAAUCGGAACUUUUGCGACUGUUUAAUGCUUCGAUCUUCACUCAGUGGAUGUUUUGGGUGAUUUUCCGACAUCUCUGAACUUUUUCCGGCGACUUUCCAGAUUCUAGGGUUUCUGGUAGUUGAACCUAGGGUUUUAUCUGGUAUCCGAUGGCUCGAUCCUCACUCGGUGGAUGUUUUGGGUGAUAUUCCGACGUCCCUGACCCUAUU